This 935-nucleotide ribosomal RNA is filed under the name Laetiporus sulphureus. Its description in RNAcentral is "LSU rRNA". It matches the Rfam family "Eukaryotic large subunit ribosomal RNA", at positions 30 to 951 of the family's 3401-position model. RNAcentral also lists the same sequence under 1 other name. Lineage: Eukaryota; Fungi; Basidiomycota; Agaricomycetes; Polyporales; Laetiporaceae. The record is from RNAcentral.
GGGCUUAGCAUAUCAAUAAGCGGAGGAAAAGAAACUAACAAGGAUUCCCCUAGUAACUGCGAGUGAAGCGGGAAAAGCUCAAAUUUAAAAUCUGGCAGUCUUUGGUUGCCCGAGUUGUAGUCUGGAGAAGUGCUUUCUGCGCUGGACCGUGUACAAGUCUCUUGGAACAGAGCGUCAUAGAGGGUGAGAAUCCCGUCUUUGACACGGACUACCAGUGCUUUGUGAUGCGCUCUCAAAGAGUCGAGUUGUUUGGGAAUGCAGCUCAAAAUGGGUGGUAAAUUCCAUCUAAAGCUAAAUAUUGGCGAGAGACCGAUAGCGAACAAGUACCGUGAGGGAAAGAUGAAAAGCACUUUGGAAAGAGAGUUAAACAGUACGUGAAAUUGCUGAAAGGGAAACGCUUGAAGUCAGUCACGUUGGCCAGAACUCAGCCUUGCUUUAAUGUUUGGUGCAUUUUCUGGUUGACGGGCCAGCAUCAAUUUUGACCGCUGGAUAAAGGCUGGAGGAAUGUGGCACCUUCGGGUGUGUUAUAGCCUCUGGUCACAUACAGUGGUUGGGAUUGAGGAUCUCAGCAUGCCUUUAUGGUCGGGGUUCGCCCACGUUUCAUGCUUAGGAUGCUGGCAUAAUGGCUUUAAACGACCCGUCUUGAAACACGGACCAAGGAGUCUAACAUACCUGCGAGUGUUUGGGUGGAAAACCCGAGUGCGUAAUGAAAGUGAAAGUUGAGAUCCCUGUCGUGGGGAGCAUCGACGCCCGGACCAGACCUUUUGUGACGGAUCUGCGGUAGAGCAUGUAUGUUGGGACCCGAAAGAUGGUGAACUAUGCCUGAAUAGGGUGAAGCCAGAGGAAACUCUGGUGGAGGCUCGUAGCGAUUCUGACGUGCAAAUCGAUCGUCAAAUUUGGGUAUAGGGGCGAAAGACUAAUCGACCAUCUUAUGC